This 253-nucleotide ribosomal RNA is filed under the name uncultured bacterium. RNAcentral describes it as "partial 16S ribosomal RNA". It matches the Rfam family "Bacterial small subunit ribosomal RNA", at positions 524 to 776 of the family's 1533-position model. The record is from RNAcentral.
UACAGAGGGUGCAAGCGUUGUUCGGAAUUAUUGGGCGUAAAGGGAGUGUAGGCGGUUUGAUAAGUCUUCUGUGAAAUCUACGGGCUUAGCCUGUAAAGUGCAGAGGAAACUGUCAGACUUGAGUGUCGGAGAGGGCAGGGGAAUACCCAGUGUAGAGGUGAAAUUCGUAGAGAUUGGGUGGAACACCAGUGGCGAAGGCGCCUGCCUGGCUGACAACUGACGCUGAGACUCGAAAGCAUGGGGAGCAAACAGG